CAGUCGCCACGGUAAUGCGAAGGGGGCUAGCGUUGUCCGGAAUUAUUGGGCGUAAAGGGCUCGCAGGCGGUUUCUUAAGUCUGAUGUGAAAGCCCCCGGCUCAACCGGGGAGGGUCAUUGGAAACUGGGAAACUUGAGUGCAGAAGAGGAGAGUGGAAUUCCACGUGUAGCGGUGAAAUGCGUAGAGAUGUGGAGGAACACCAGUGGCGGAGGCGACUCUCUGGUCUGUAACUGACGCUGAGGAGCGAAAGCGUGGGGAGCGAACAGGAUUAGAUACCCCCGUAGUCCCUGUCUCUUAUAC
This 301-nucleotide ribosomal RNA is filed under the name uncultured bacterium. Its description in RNAcentral is "partial 16S ribosomal RNA". It matches the Rfam family "Bacterial small subunit ribosomal RNA", at positions 509 to 807 of the family's 1533-position model. The record is from RNAcentral.